AAAGGAAUUGACGGGGGCCCGCACAAGCGGUGGAGCAUGUUGGUCAAUUGGAUGAUACGCCAAGAACCUUACCAGGGUUUGACAUGGUAGGGACAGCCGGUGAAAGCCGGUCUCCCGGGCAACCGGGUCCUAUCACAGGUGGUGCAUGGUUGUCGUCAGCUCGUGUCGUGAGAUGUUGGGUUAAGUCCCGCAACGAGCGCAACCCUCGCCGGAUGUUGCCAUCGGUAACGCCGGGAACUCUUCCGGGACUGCCUGAGUAAUCAGGAGGAAGGAGGGGACGACGUCAAAUCGGCAUGCCCCUUACACCCUGGGCUGCAAACGUGCUACAAUGGCCGGUACAAAGGGUUGCCAAACCGCGAGGUGGAGCCAAUCCCCCAAAGCCGGUCCCAGUUCGGAUUGGGUGUCUGCAACUCGACCCCAUGAAGGCGGAAUCGCUAGUAACCGUGGAUCAGCAAUGCCACGGUGAAUACGUUCCCGGGCCUUGUACACACCGCCCGU
RNAcentral lists this ribosomal RNA (498 nucleotides) under uncultured bacterium. RNAcentral's name for it is "bacterial SSU rRNA". It matches the Rfam family "Bacterial small subunit ribosomal RNA", at positions 903 to 1397 of the family's 1533-position model. The record is from RNAcentral.